This 253-nucleotide ribosomal RNA is filed under the name uncultured bacterium. RNAcentral's name for it is "partial 16S ribosomal RNA". It matches the Rfam family "Bacterial small subunit ribosomal RNA", at positions 524 to 776 of the family's 1533-position model. The record is from RNAcentral.
UACGAAGGGGGCUAGCGUUACUCGGAUUGACUGGGCGUAAAGGGCGCGUAGGCGGCUUGUACAGUCAGACGUGAAAUUCCUGGGCUCAACCUGGGGGCUGCGUUUGAUACGUGCGGGCUUGAGUUCGGAAGAGGGUCGUGGAAUUCCCAGUGUAGAGGUGAAAUUCGUAGAUAUUGGGAAGAACACCGGUGGCGAAGGCGGCUACCUGGACCGGUACUGACGCUGAGGCGCGAAAGCUAGGGUAGCAAACAGG